AUGUUUUUUUUUCUGUUUUCAAGAGGCACGACCGCGCCUCUCACGGAAGCAAAAUCGUGCCUCUCAUGGAAGGAAAAAAGAAGAGAAAAACGUCUUUUUUCAUUUAGGAGAGGCACGAGGCGCGGAAGUAAAACCGUGCCUCUCUGGAAAAAAAAAGAAAACGAGUAUUUUUCGUUUGCGAUGGGCACGACCAUGCCUCUCGCGGAAGUAAAACCGUGCCUCUCACAGAUUUUUUUUUUCCGUUUUCAAGAGGCACAGCCGUGCCUUUCGCAGAACAAAACCGUGCAUUUCGCAGAAGGAAAAAAAGAGAAAACAUGUUUUUCAAAUCCGUGCCUCUCGCGGAAGAAAAAAAGGCAUUUUUUUUGA
Molecule: ribosomal RNA, 366 nt
Filed under: Triticum aestivum (bread wheat)
Lineage: Eukaryota; Viridiplantae; Streptophyta; Magnoliopsida; Poales; Poaceae
Description: partial small subunit ribosomal RNA
Source: RNAcentral